This 893-nucleotide ribosomal RNA is filed under the name uncultured bacterium. RNAcentral describes it as "bacterial SSU rRNA". It matches the Rfam family "Bacterial small subunit ribosomal RNA", at positions 28 to 896 of the family's 1533-position model. The record is from RNAcentral.
AAUCAACGCUGGCGGCGUGCCUCAGACAUGCAAGUCGAACGCGAAAGUCCCCUUCGGGGGAUAAGUAGAGUGGCGUCCGGGUGAGUAACACGUAGGUAAUCUACCUUCGGGUGGGGAAUAACCCAGGGAAACUUGGGCUAAUACCGCAUAAUGCAGCGGCACCACAUGGUGACAGUUGUUAAAGCGGGGGAUCUUCGGAUCUCGCGCCUGAAGAGGAGCCUGCGGCAGAUUAGCUAGUUGGUAAGGUAAUGGCUUACCAAGGCGACGAUCUGUAGCCGGCCUGAGAGGGCGGUCGGCCACACUGACACUGACAUACGGGUCAGACUCCUACGGGAGGCAGCAGUCGGGAAUUUUGGGCAAUGGGCGAAAGCCUGACCCAGCAACGCCGCGUGAAGGAUGAAAUCCCUCGGGAUGUAAACUUCGCAAGAAUGGGAAGAAUUAGUAGGGGUUAAUACCCUCUAUGAUGACGGUACCAUUUGUAAGCUCCGGCUAACUCCGUGCCAGCAGCCGCGGUAAUACGGGGGGAGCAAGCGUUGUUCGGAUUUACUGGGCGUAAAGGGCGCGUAGGCGGUCAGCACAAGUCAGUUGUGAAAUCUCCGGGCUUAACUCGGAAAGGUCAACUGAUACUGUGCGACUAGAGUGCGGAAGGGGCAACUGGAAUUCUCGGUGUAGCGGUGAAAUGCGUAGAUAUCGAGAGGAACACCUGCGGCGAAGGCGGGUUGCUGGGCCGACACUGACGCUGAUGCGCGAAAGCCAGGGGAGCGAACGGGAUUAGAUACCCCGGUAGUCCUGGCCUUAAACGAUGGAUGCUUGGUGUCUGGAGUUUUAUAGUCUCCGGGUGCCGCAGCUAACGCGUUAAGCAUCCCGCCUGGGGGAGUACGGUCGCAAGACUG